AGGAAAUGUCAUCAACCCUGAUGAUGUCGUUUUGGAGUAUGGUGCAGAUUCUCUACGCUUAUAUGAAAUGUUUAUGGGUCCAUUAAGAGACUCGAAAACAUGGAAUACAAGUGGUAUUGAUGGUGUUCACCGUUUCCUAGCAAGAUCUUGGAGAUUGGUUGUUGGUUCAGCCUCACCCACUGGUUCAUAUCUGGAUGGAACUGUUACAGUUGAUGAGAAACCUUCAAUUGAACAACUUCGUUCUUUACACAGAUGCAUUGAUAAGGUAACUGAAGAAAUUGAAGG
This 285-nucleotide unclassified non-coding RNA is filed under the name Hevea brasiliensis (rubber tree). The record is from RNAcentral. Lineage: Eukaryota; Viridiplantae; Streptophyta; Magnoliopsida; Malpighiales; Euphorbiaceae.